RNAcentral lists this ribosomal RNA (465 nucleotides) under uncultured Aggregatibacter sp. RNAcentral describes it as "bacterial SSU rRNA". It matches the Rfam family "Bacterial small subunit ribosomal RNA", at positions 338 to 795 of the family's 1533-position model. The record is from RNAcentral. Lineage: Bacteria; Pseudomonadati; Pseudomonadota; Gammaproteobacteria; Pasteurellales; Pasteurellaceae.
CCUACGAGCGGCAGCAGUGGGGAAUAUUGCGCAAUGGGGGCAACCCUGACGCAGCCAUGCCGCGUGAAUGAAGAAGGCCUUCGGGUUGUAAAGUUCUUUCGGUGACGAGGAAGGCGUGAUGUUUAAUAGGCAUCACGAUUGACGUUAAUCACAGAAGAAGCACCGGCUAACUCCGUGCCAGCAGCCGCGGUAAUACGGAGGGUGCGAGCGUUAAUCGGAAUAACCGGGCGUAAAGGGCACGCAGGCGGCUAUUUAAGUGAGGUGUGAAAUCCCCGGGCUUAACCUGGGAAUUGCAUUUCAGACUGGGUGGCUAGAGUACUUUAGGGAGGGGUAGAAUUCCACGUGUAGCGGUGAAAUGCGUAGAGAUGUGGAGGAAUACCGAAGGCGAAGGCAGCCCCUUGGGAAUGUACUGACGCUCAUGUGCGAAAGCGUGGGGAGCAAACAGGAUUAGAUACCCGGGUAGUC